RNAcentral lists this long non-coding RNA (298 nucleotides) under Olea europaea (common olive). RNAcentral describes it as "long non-coding RNA (OEUR_LNC006566)". Lineage: Eukaryota; Viridiplantae; Streptophyta; Magnoliopsida; Lamiales; Oleaceae. The record is from RNAcentral.
CGAGGCCUCUAAAGCCGGGCUCCAGUGGGGUGAAGGAAGUCCGAGGCAGGGUUGAACGCCUGUCCAAGGACUGUACUCCGCGGGCCUCGGAGGAGGCAACACCUCAGAGGCAGGAGAAGCCGAAGGAGCCUCGGGGGAAGGAGAAGGUCCCUGAGGAGACAAAAAAGAGGAAGCUGGUGCAUCUCUCCAGCUCGGCUGGGAAAUUCGGGACCUCUGUGUCCCAUGAGGCAAAGCAAACUGGCCAGCCGAAGUUGCUUGCGGUCGCCUCGAAGGCCAUCAAAAUUGAGAUGGUUAGAGA